GAUGAACGCUGGCGGCGUGCCUAAUACAUGCAAGUCGAGCGAACAGACGAGGAGCUUGCUCCUCUGACGUUAGCGGCGGACGGGUGAGUAACACGUGGAUAACCUACCUAUAAGACUGGGAUAACUUCGGGAAACCGGAGCUAAUACCGGAUAAUAUAUUGAACCGCAUGGUUCAAUAGUGAAAGACGGUUUUGCUGUCACUUAUAGAUGGAUCCGCGCCGCAUUAGCUAGUUGGUAAGGUAACGGCUUAUCAAGGCGACGAUGCGUAGCCGACCUGGGAGGGUGAUCGGCCACACUGGAACUGAGACACGGUCCAGACUCCUACGGGAGGCAGCAGUAGGGAAUCUUCCGCAAUGGGCGAAAGCCUGACGGAGCAACGCCGCGUGAGUGAUGAAGGUCUUCGGAUCGUAAAACUCUGUUAUUAGGGAAGAACAAAUGUGUAAGUAACUAUGCACGUCUUGACGGUACCUAAUCAGAAAGCCACGGCUAACUACGUG
This 497-nucleotide ribosomal RNA is filed under the name uncultured bacterium. RNAcentral's name for it is "partial 16S ribosomal RNA". It matches the Rfam family "Bacterial small subunit ribosomal RNA", at positions 28 to 507 of the family's 1533-position model. The record is from RNAcentral.